UGACGACACAUUCCCUAGCAACUGCUAUGUCUCCACGGCAACAUCAUCCUUGUCCUGUUCUGUGGCAUCAGUAGUAUUACGGUCAAGCAUAAUGGUCAGUCACAGUAGUCUGUUUUCGAUAAUACAAUCUCUAAUAAAGAGGAUUGUAAUUGGCUUUGCACUGCACUGAUAGGUGUAGCGGUGGCAUAUAUUCUGCUGUAGUAGUAUGUAUAUAGAUUCGAUUUUUCAGGGGUAGAGUACAGUGAAAGCGCAUACGUCCAUUGAUGUGUAAGGCGGGAAAUAGGGGGAGCUGGAUUUUCGAAAAACUCGGUUGCGAUGCCAUUUACACAAAUACUUUGUCUCGAGAAUAAAUAGGGAAGCCUAUCACUCGCGUUUUUCACGUUUCUCCCGGUACCCAGAAAAAUAGUAUACAGGCUUGCGCCAUUUUCCACCUUGAAUAACUGCACAGCCGCCGGUUACGGUUCGUUCGGAUGGAUCCCGCCGUGCUAAUCUUCCUGCUGUAUAUGAUGAUUGCUCAUGAGAUGAUCUGCGGCUGGAUGCAGUACCGGAGGCAAGCCGCCAAACCCCGCAAACGCGUCAGACCAAUGUGGAGUGCCAGUGCUCGAGUUUGCCCUAGCAGCUGGCGAGUCAGCAGCCAGUCUUGCAGGGCAGAGAGAGGACGAGACUGGAGGAGAGCUGCUGGGAAGAGUGGACGGAUUGUCAGGAAGGCAUAAACUGGAAAAAGUAACUGUUCAGCAGAACUUCAGACAAUUCCGCAACCCCAAAAUGGUGUGAUGAAAUGGAAGGCCUCUUCCUUCAACAUUUACAUUUUUAAUGAGCUUGGUCUGCUCCAUGAACUGUUUGCUAUGAUUGGGCAGCACAUGGGCACUGGGAGUUGCUCAGUUAUCAAGUCUAAACCCCUCAGAACAGUAGCAUACAAUAUGAUGACAAGUGGGAAAACUGCACUUUUUAUGUAUUUAUUGGUUAAUUUAUAUUUUACAGUCACAUUAUAUCAUUUUAAAGUUGUAUUUGACAUUUUAUAAUGUUUUAUGUUGAUCAAUGACAACAUGCACUCUACAUCUGAUAUUUGGUAGAUACAAGUUGAUUUGUCUCCAUGAUAUUCAGAAACUGAGCAACAGCCUACUAAAGUCCAGGAGUCAAAUACAUUUGACUUAGUUUGAAAUGUAUUUCUAUAAUGUGUGAUUUUUUAAAUCAAUUAUUCUAAUUGCAUUCUGAAAAACAGUAUUGAUCUUAAAUUUUCAUAUACAUUUUAAAAAAUUAUUUGAAAGCAAAGCUUCUGAACAUCUUAUUAAACAAAAUUAAGCUUGUGACGUACUUAAUAUAGACUAACAGGCAUGACAUUUUGUUAUGUGAAAAAGAGGGGUUUAGGAGAGUCUGUCAAAUGCAUUCAGGAAUUGUGUGUCCAUUUUGUUUAGAAAUGUCUCUUUCAAUCAGAUAAAAAUGAAAAGUUCGCAAUACUGUUCGCAAUACUGUGUCUACACUCUUACUAAAAAUUAUUUUUUGCGGAGAAAUUGAGUUUUAACAAGAACUAUCUCAAAAUGAAAACCCUUUCUCGAGACAAGGGUUAUUUGUAUGUUAAAGGGUUGUACUUAAUAUCUUCAACAUCCUAGGACCUGAUUUUGUUAGAAAGGGUUAUUUGAUGAUUCUGUGGAAGACAAUAAGAAUUCUUUAGAAAGGAAAAAGGUUGUGCCUAAAAAAGUCUGCAACAGUUUUUUUUAACUCACAUUUCAAGUUUUUCUGUCAGCCUAAGGAAAAAAGCCUAACAAUUAACAAUUAAAAACAAAAACACACUUGAAACAAUAUCCUAACACAUGAUGAUUGAUGUUACCAUGCAACAUAUUAUGUGCCCCAGAAUAUAUGGAACUAUAUUGCUAGGACAUUCAUUCCUGACCAAGGUUGCAACUUUUAUGGUUACCAUGAAAUAAUGCAUAUAUUAAAUGUCUCCUGAUAUUUAUUAUAUAACUGUGUAAUAAAAAUAUUAGUACAAUUGC
Molecule: long non-coding RNA, 1991 nt
Organism: Esox lucius (northern pike)
Lineage: Eukaryota; Metazoa; Chordata; Actinopteri; Esociformes; Esocidae
Exons: 2
Source: RefSeq, a predicted model, not a curated record